AUAUAUAUAAAUUGAUACAAAAUUUAUAUAUAAUAAUUAUCAUGCUAUAUAUAUUAUUAUAACUUAUAUUUUUAAAUUUUAUAUAUCAAAAUUAUAUUGCAUGUUAAGACAGUCUAGUUACUAUACUUUUAUGAGUAUGAUUGUUUUUUUACUCAUAAGUCGUUUUUUAUAACAGAACUUUCGAAUCGAUGAUCCAUACUAUUAAACAUUAUCCAGAAAAUUUAAAUUUUUUAAAAUUAAAUUUUAUAAUUUUUUAACUACCUUACGAUCAAAAGAUCUCAAAAUUGACAAUUUUUAACUGCCAGUAUGAAAUACUUGCUAGUUUAAUAGUGUAAAAGAAUCAGAAUCGGUUGAAUUUUUGAUAGAAAAUUCUAUUCACUAUCUAGAUAAAGAUCAAUAACUCCGAUCUUAAAUUGAAUGAUCCGAUCAUUCUUUUUUAGGACGUCGUUUGAUUUUGACCGUUCAUUUUAUACCCGCUUGAUAAAUUUUAUUAUAAUUUCAAAAAAUUAUAAAAUUUAUUUUUAAAAAAUUUUAACUACUCUAUAUCAUAUUUUCAUCAUGAAAAAUAAUUUAUGAGUACAAAUUAUUCUAUACUCAUAAAAUUAUAGUAGCUUGUAUCUAUAUAUUAAUAGGACUCUCUCUCUCUCUCUCUCUCUCUCUCU
This 662-nucleotide long non-coding RNA is filed under the name Ananas comosus (pineapple). RNAcentral describes it as "long non-coding RNA (ACOM_LNC015616)". Lineage: Eukaryota; Viridiplantae; Streptophyta; Magnoliopsida; Poales; Bromeliaceae. The record is from RNAcentral.